Non-coding RNA from Gavialis gangeticus (Gharial), 74 nucleotides. The record is from the annotation of a RefSeq genome assembly. NCBI's taxonomy places the organism in Eukaryota, Metazoa, Chordata, Crocodylia, Gavialidae.
GGUACCAUGGCUCAGUUGGUUAAAGCACCUGUCUUGUAAACAGGAAGUCCUGGGUUCAAAUCCCAGUGGUACCU